Non-coding RNA from Myodes glareolus (Bank vole), 2162 nucleotides. The record is from RefSeq and is a predicted model, not a curated record. Lineage: Eukaryota; Metazoa; Chordata; Mammalia; Rodentia; Cricetidae.
ACAAAUAAACAAAGAAAUAUCUAUCUCAUUAGCAGUAUUGCCCCUCUUUGAUAAAUUCCAGGAUGGCCAACUUGCUUCUAAUUAUACUAAAGACUGCCCCCUCUGACUGAGGUUUCCAUACAUAAACUACUCCUGACCUUCUACCUCUCAUUGGGCUAAUCAUUAUUCCUAUACAUGCUUCCCGAACUCAAUUUCAUUUCCCUUGGGAAGCUUUUUCUGACCCUCCAGUCUGGGUUAGUUGUCUCCUGAGUUCGCAGUCUCUGUGUCUUUUGUCAGGUAGAUCAAGCCAAAUUAUCUGUCCCUUCCCUGGGUAAGGCCUGGCUUGUUGCCUCUGCAGACUAUUCAGCAUAUGCAAAGAAGACAGAUGAGGGUGUUCUCCACAGUCGUUCUUUCAACAAGAAGGCAAGAGUUGACCUUGACCUGUUUCGAUUCACUGUUUAUUGAUUUAUUAUUAUUCUUUUUGUCAGGCCCUAGGCCAUCACAACUGAUUUAUAAAACCUGGCUCCUGCCUGAUAAAGCCAGGUUCAUCAAGAACAACAAAUAAACCCCUCCCCUGAGGUUUGAAAGGAAGUCUGUCCAAUGAUGUCAUUUGGGCAAGCAAAGGUCAGAAAGGAUUUUGAGAGAUACUACUGUGUUUAAUGGAAAAUACUGUCAGGAGGUGGUGGAGCACACCUUUAAUCCCAGCACUCAGGAAGCAGAGGCAGGUGGAUCUCUGUGAGUUCAAGGCCAGCCUGGUCUACAGAGUGAUCUCCAGGACAGCCUACCUAGUGUCUGCCCUAGUGUGUUAAACUCCCAAUGUGCAUAGCCUCCAGGCACCUUCAGAGCUCAGAGGCAUUGGAUUCCCCUAGAAUGGAGUUACAGGUGCUUGUGAACCCCCUGACGUGGUACGGGAACUGAACUUGAGUCCAUGGAGGAGCAGUAAGUGAUCUUAACCACCGAGGAUUCCUCCACUCCCACCAGAGCCCUUCCUUAUUUUUUUUUAAUGAAAGAAUGCACCAAACACAUUUACAUUUGUUUUCUUUUUUAAGCAAAUAACAAAGACCCAAAUUGUCAGUGUUUUUAAACCUAAGCUUAACAUUACCUACUUAAACAAUUUUCAGAACUGACAAAUUUGACAGCAUCCAUGCACAAUGAGAAAACAGAAACGUAUUACCAUUGAUGCAGUAAUAGCGUUCAUUACUAAAUACUGAAAAUAAGAUUGAAAUAUUUCUGCAGAAGGUUCAUCUGGCAACGUUAGCUUCACAGCAGGCUUCCACUACUCACUCACAGUUCAAUGGGAAACAGACCCCUGCUGGCGUCAGAGAACAAUCUCCUCCUAGCACUACUCAAGAGUCACAGGGCUCACCUCGGAUUACAGAUACGGUUUGUUUUGUUUUGUUUAAAGCAAAGUGCAUACAGAGGUUACAACAAUUUUAAAGACCAAAAAAAAAAAAAAAAGGUCCUAUUUUGUGAUCUCAACCACAAACUCAAAAGUCUAUGACAAAUAGGGGCUCCGAUGAACUAUUUUGUAAAUACUUUAGAUUAGGUACAGUUAUACAGAAAGUCAAGUUCGUUUGAAAUCUUCAAAAAAAGUUCCUGUUAUUCCUCAAAUGGUGUUUGUUAUGGUUUAACAUUUCUGUUAAAUGCGUGCAUUGAAUUACUUGUUAUCCAAGCAUAGCAGGUGCCCCUUACUAUUUAUCGUCAAGAACUUUAACUGUCCAUUUUCUUCAGCUUCUGUGACUGUUCUCCACAAUUCUCUUUGUAGUCAUUUUUUUUUUUUUGCCAUUAACAACUGUCUUAGUAGAAGUUGAUAUUGAUUUGAAGUUGCCCAUUCCGCUGCCACCAAAUGAUGCUGACGAGAAUGAAGUGAGACCCCCGUGUCCUAGUGGCCGGAACGAACUGAAUCCUGUAUCAGAAGCAGGAAAUCCACCCCCAAAAGAAGGAAAUCCACUGAAGGCAAAUCCACGAGCCUGAACCUCAGCUUCUAUUUCUUCGGGAAGCCCUUCGGCUCCCAAAAAGUUAUCAAAUGGGUCUUCAAAGAAGUCAAAUGAAAAUGGGUCCCUUCCACCAAAAAAUUCCCUGAAGACAUCAUCUGGAUUCUGGAAAAUGAAGUCAAACUCAAACGGACUGUUGAAAUGACUUCCACCUCCUCCUCAUUCACCAUUAAAUCCUUAUUUUCCGUA